GUACUUACUCCUACGGGAGGCAGCAGUGGGGAAUAUUGCACAAUGGGCGAAAGCCUGAUGCAGCAACGCCGCGUGAGGGAUGACGGCCUUCGGGUUGUGAACCUCUUUUAGCAAGGAAGAAGCGAAAGUGACGGUACUUGCAGAAAAAGCGCCGGCUAACUACGUGCCAGCAGCCGCGGUAAUACGUAGGGCGCAAGCGUUAUCCGGAAUUAUUGGGCGUAAAGAGCUCGUAGGCGGUUUGUCGCGUCUGCUGUGAAAUCCCGAGGCUCAACCUCGGGUCUGCAGUGGGUACGGGCAGACUAGAGUGCGGUAGGGGAGAUUGGAAUUCCUGGUGUAGCGGUGGAAUGCGCAGAUAUCAGGAGGAACACCGAUGGCGAAGGCAGAUCUCUGGGCCGUAACUGACGCUGAGGAGCGAAAGGGUGGGGAGCAAACAGGAUUAGAAACCCGAGUAGUCCAGGCAU
Molecule: ribosomal RNA, 461 nt
Filed under: uncultured bacterium
Lineage: Bacteria
Description: bacterial SSU rRNA
Rfam family: Bacterial small subunit ribosomal RNA
Source: RNAcentral